UCCCUGGUGAUCAAGUGGCUAAGACUCUGCACUCCCAAGGCAGGGGGCCUGGGUUCAAUACCUGGUCAGGGAA
This 73-nucleotide transfer RNA is filed under the name Bos taurus (domestic cattle). It matches the Rfam family "tRNA". From Rfam's summary of the family: Transfer RNA (tRNA) molecules are approximately 80 nucleotides in length. Their secondary structure includes four short double-helical elements and three loops (D, anti-codon, and T loops). Lineage: Eukaryota; Metazoa; Chordata; Mammalia; Artiodactyla; Bovidae. RNAcentral also lists the same sequence under 5 other names. The record is from Rfam by way of RNAcentral.